AGUACUACUAGUACAAGUACUAGUACUAAUAAUAGAAAUACUUGUAGUACUUUUAUUAAUACUUGUACGUUCUACUAGUACUAGUACUAC
RNAcentral lists this transfer RNA (90 nucleotides) under Amborella trichopoda. Its description in RNAcentral is "tRNA AMTR_s02083t00273460". Lineage: Eukaryota; Viridiplantae; Streptophyta; Magnoliopsida; Amborellales; Amborellaceae. The record is from RNAcentral.